GGUCUAGAAAAUAUCAAAGAUACCCCUCUCAUCCCGCAGCCCUAACAAAUCGAUCCCCUUCUUCCUCCUCCCCCCCUCCCCCUUCUGCUGACGUACGCUGCGCCGCCGCCGGGCACGUCCGCCUCCUCUCUCCGUCCGGUCCAGUCGGGCGAGGAUUGGCGGUUCCUUCUCCUUGUGCUGGGAGCAUGGCGGAUGGGGGUAUUGUUGUAGCCAUUUGCCAGUUUGGUGGAGAAUUCACUUCUGGGCCCAAUGGUAAUCUGAUAUACACAGGAGGAGAAGCGCAUGCUGUUGAUGUCACUCGUGAUUUUUCCCUGGAGAGCUUCAAGGAUGAGGUGUCCAAGGUGUUCCAUGUUGAUGUCACUGACAUGUCGCUCAAGUACUUUCUUCCGAAUAAUAACAAGACACUUAUCACAAUAUCUUGUGAUCGGGAUUUGCAAAGGAUGGUUGAUUUUACUAUCAGUGCCGCACAAGUGGAUGUUUUCCUGAUAAGUAGAGAAGAGAACAGGAGUAUUGUAACGCAUUCUGGAGCUACACCUGGCUCUAUUGCAAGUGGCGACAAAAGGAAAAGGCCAACGUCCAAAAACAAGGUAUCCAAGAGUAACAAGAAGACUACCAACGCUCCUGGCAAUGCUGUUCUAGCGAGCACCAAUAAUGUGGGACAACCAAUUUCAGUUGUUACUGAAAAUGAAGACAACAGGGGUUUUCAGUUGGAAUUUGGGAAUGACAUCGCAAUUACCACAACAGCUGGAGGUGCUUCCUUCACAACAGACUUUCUGGAUCAGCAAAAUCUUGCUUUUGUGGAUGAUAUCCCUAGGGAAGCAGUUAGUAUGUUUGAUGAUGCAAUCGAUCCGUAUGUUGGUUCCGAGAUCAUGGAAGAGCCUCCCCAGGGACUUAACAAUCCUAUUGUGUUGUGGGAUGACAUUAUCAAAGGAGUUGGUCAAGAAUUUGAUAAUGUGAAGGACUUCCGUGCUCAGUUGUGCAAGUAUGCCAUUGUGAAAGGAUUUGUAUACCGAUUCAUAAAAAAUGAAACCACUCGCGUCACUGUAAAAUGUGCUGCGGAGGGGGGUUGCACCUGGCGGUUGCAUGCAUCCGAAUCAUCUCGUAACAAGAAGUUUGUUAUCAAGAAAAUGACAGAUGAACAUACUUGUGGAGGAGGAAGUGGAGAGGGUCAGCGUCGAGCAACAAGGCAAUGGCUGACUACUAUCAUUAAGGAGAAGUUACAUGAGAACCCAAUGUUUAAGCCAAAGGACCUUGUAAAGGAAUUAUAUGAAGAAUACGGAGUUACUCUAACAUAUUCACAGGUUUGGCGAGGUAAAGAAGUAGCGCAGAAAGAGCUGUAUCACGCUAUCAGGGAGACUCACAGUCAUUUACCCUUGUAUUGUCAGAGGCUUGAAGAGACCAACCCAGGGAGUAUAAGUGUUUUAUCUCCAGUGGUGGAUACCAAAUUUCGUCGCUUUUUUGUCGCAUUCCAUGCUUGUUUGCAUGGCUUUGUAAAUGGCUGCAGACCUCUCUUAUUUCUGGACAAGGUCCCGCUGAAAGCCACAAACGAGUUCAAGUUGCUUGUGGCUGCUGCAGUUGAUGCAGAUGAUGGUGUAUUUCCGGUGGCAUUUAAUGUGGUUGAAGAUGAAAAUUAUGAUAGCUGGGGUUGGUUCUUAAUGCAGCUGAAAAUGGCUCUCGAAACUCACAACUACCCUUGCCAUGCCAUGACAUUCUUGUCCAGUGGACAAAAGGGUCUGGAUGCUGCUGUCUGUCAAGUGUUUGAGGAUAGCCAGCAUGCCUUCUGUUUGCAUCAUAUCAUGGAGGAAUUCAAAGGAGAGCUGAGGAAAGGACCGUGGUCACAACAAAUAAGGGAGGGGAUGGUGGAGGAUUUUACUCGUGCAGCCCAAGCAUGCAACAUCAAGGAUUUUAAUGUGUCCAUAGAAAGCAUAAGGAAUAUAUCCAGUGAAGCUGCUGACUGGAUCAUUGCAAGGAAGCCAGAGCAUUGGUCGGAUGCCUUCUUCAAAGGCUGUCGGUAUGAUCAUUUCUCCCUGAACGUUGUUGAUGCCUUCAAUAACUGGAUACCAACCAAGAAGGAGAGUUCCAUAGUGCUGAUGACAGACUCAUUGAGAAUGAAAAUUAAGGAAGUGGUAGAGUCAAGGCGUGAAGCUUGCAAUGCGUGGGAAGGGCCUUUAACACCCACGAUGGAAUACAAAGUGCAGGAUGAGAUGUUGAAGGCUGGUAAGAUGAAUGUGCUGUGCUCCUCCGAGUCUGUUUUUGAAGUGAGGGGCAAUGGAAUUUUUGUCGUUAAUCUUGCAGUUCGUGAGUGCACGUGCAAUAGGUGGCAACUCUCUGGCCUCCCCUGCAUGCAUGCCGUUGCUGUGUUCAACAGGCUUGGGCGCUCUUGCUAUGACUUCUGCUCAAAUUUUUUUAGAAUCGACUACUACCGGCUAACGUACUCAGGUACAAUCUUCCCAAUACCUGACAUGGAUGGCUUCGAUUUUAGUGCUGGGGCGAAUGAAAUGCCACCUCCCAAGCAACGUACAUCAGACAAACCAAGAAGGAAGCGAUCUAACCCCAACAAGACAAGCACUCUUAUACGACUCUGCAGCAGGUGCAAGCAAACAGGCCACAACAAGGCAACCUGUGAAGUUGAGUUUGUAAACAAAAGCAACCUCUUGAUGUCGACUCUCUAGCUUGUACAGCUCGUCAGCAGUGUCAAAGGCCAGAAGCUUCGAUAUAGUGCACAGCUGCGGAGAACAUGGUGGUCUGUUUCUCCCAUGGAUGAAUUGUGUGUGGCUAAGCAAAGCCUUCUCAUUGCUGUGAUUCUUGCUGGGAAUCGCAGUUUCUUGGUUGGAAGACUUGAAGCACUGAAGACCUGAAGAAAGAAAUGAUUUCUUGUAUAUCCUAAAGUUGAGGUGAUCCCUAUUUGUUGUAUCCAAGUCCAGACUUGAAGCACUGAAGAAAGAAAUCAACAAUUCGGUAUUUCCAUCCAAGACCCGGUGCAGAGGCUGGAACCUUCUUUUUUUUUUCCAUUUUCCAAAUUAAAGAAGAUAAAUACACAUUAGACAGAUAAAGCAAACUAGUUUUAUAUAUUCAUCACUCUGGACCGAUCAUUACAGACACACAUGCACACCUGCAGAGAUGCAAUUCUGCAUGGUUUAUUUGCAACGAUCAACACACACACACACAUACAGGACGGACGCCAAGCAAGCACAAG
Panicum hallii is the source of this 3196-nucleotide RNA transcript. RefSeq lists it as uncharacterized. NCBI's taxonomy places the organism in Eukaryota, Viridiplantae, Streptophyta, Magnoliopsida, Poales, Poaceae. The transcript is spliced from 8 exons. The record is from RefSeq and is a predicted model, not a curated record.